CAGACUUGCACGUUUGCUUACAUAUACUAGAGUUAGAACUGUGCUUGGGUAGGUACUUUGAGAUCAUUGGAAUAAAGAUAGCAUGUGAAAACAGAAUAAUUAUGAAAACGUCUUCUUUUAUACAGCACUUUGUACUUUUUAAAUUGCUUUCACUGCUGUCACAUCAAACCUCUUCACACUUCUGUAGGACAGAUAAAGCACAAUUAUUUCUCUGUUACGCAGAUGGGGAAACAGACCUAGGCAGGGAUAUAGUGACCUGCCCACAGGUCUAACAGCAUUUGAGUGAUAAUUAGAACUAAAGUGGAGGAAUUUUUAUUUGAGAAGUUGAGCAGUGAGAGUCAAAAUCUUCUUAGGAGCUGUAGGUUUUUGUACCAAUGGAGAGAUCUCUUUUUCUGUUGGAUAUGAUUGACAAUGUUAGAAGAGAUAUUCACUGGAGGAAGGCCCCGCAGAAGGAAUGAGGAACAGACCUCUGGCCUGUAUUGUGCCUCCAUUGUCUCUGGUGUAGUUGUGCAUAUUGUGAGAUUACAGAUGGGAAAGAAAGAGAUCUUCACCCUCAGCUCAAGAGAAGAAAGUAAGGGUGCUGUAGGAACAGAUGUCACAGUAAAAGCAUGCCAAUCUAAGUGUGCUCAAGGGAUUUUAUGCUAGUUGGCCUUAGGUUCUGGUAAGAGAUAAGGUGGGGCAUCUGCCAAGAGUACAUAAGGGAUCAGGGGCUUGGAAAGUGUGAAGAAAGUUUGAGAUAGCUGUUGUGUGCUUAAAAUUAACUAAAGAUGAAUAAAAAGACUGGCCCCUUUCAUUGAGAGUGGGGACUUUGUUCUCUGCUGUAUCCCCAGCACCUAGUAUACACAUUGCACAUAGUAGGUACUCAGUAAAUAUUUGUUGAAUCAGGCAGAUUCCUGCCUAGGUCUGUUUCCCCAUCUGCAUAACACAAAUAAGGCUGGCUAACCCUGUGCCAUCUCCGUAAUAGUCUUCAUCUUCUCUUCACUUUCCCAUUCAUUUCUCUAUAUUAGUUGAAUACAUGAAUGAAGACAGGAAUAAGUUCCUCACUGAAGUUACAAGCCUUUUUAAGAACAGCAAGCCCCUGGCAGCCACCAUUCUACUUUCUGUCUCUAUGAAGUCUGACUGCUCUAGGUACCUCAUGUAAGUGGAAUCAUACAGUGUUUGUCUUUUUAUGAUUGGCUUAUUUUACUUACUAUAAUGGCCUUAAGGCUCAUCCAUGUUGUAGCAUGUGUCACAAUUUCCUUUUUAAGGUGGAACAAUAUACUCCAUUGUAAAUACACACACCACUCAUCUGUUGAUGAACACUUGGGUUGCUUUUGCCUCUUGUGAAUAAGGCUGCUAUGAAUAUAAGUGUACAACUAUCUCUUUGGGACCCUGCUUUCGAUUCUUUUGGGUAGGAACCCAGAAGGGCACUACUGGAUCAUAUGGUAAUUCUGUGUUUAAUUUUGAGGAACCACAAACUCCUGAGUUCAAGUGAUCCUCACAACUCAGCCUCCCAUACUGUUUCCAAAGUGGCUGCACCUUUUCACAUUCCCACCAACAGGGCAAAAGGAUUCCAGUUUCUCCACAACCUUGCCAACACACUGCCCAGGAGGCAGAGGUUGCAGUGAGCUGAGAUCGCGCCACUGCACUCCAGCCUGGGUGACAGAGUGAGACUCCAUCUGAGAAAAAAAGAAAAAAAAAAAAAAGACCUGAUUUGGCUAUGGGGGUUCUGCCCUCAUGAAUGGAUUUAGGUCAUUAUCACAGAGUGGGUUGGUCUAAAAGUGAGUUGGGCCCUCUCUGUCUCUUACGCUCCUGCCUUUGCUUGCCCUUCUGCCAUGGGGUGAUACAGCAAGAAGGCCUCUGCCAGAUGCAGGCCUCUUGACCUUGGACUUCCCAGCUUACGGAACUAUAAGAAAUACAUUUCUUUUCCUAUAAAUUACCCAGUCUGUGGUAUUCUGUUAUGGCAACACAAAACAGACGAAGGGAUUUUAAUGGGAUGGUUGGAAACUGAAUGUGGACUACCUAGAGUGGACACCACCUUGUUGGUUGUAGCAAAGCCAUGUUAAAAGGUAAGCCUAUUGCUACAAUGUAAGGGUAGGUAAUAUUUUAUUUACAUACUGUAUCAUAAGUAUCAACAUUAUAAAGGGGAUAAGUACACUGGAGCUUAAUGUUGUGUUCCUGUCUUCUAUAACCAUUUGAUCACUAUGUCUAUUCCUAAUAAAUCUCACCUGUUCUUUAAAAAUAUCCUAGUAAUUCUUUGGGUUUUGAAUCUUUACUCUCCAUUAUAAGUAUGUAUACAUCUAAAUUUUAAAAAUAUGCAUGCAGGCAUUCUGACUAGAUCUCCAAGGCUUGGCCGACCUGUUAAAUGACAUAACUCAAGUAAAUUAUCAGACAUAUCAGAAGUACAAACUUGAUGGGCUUGGUUGAGAUAUAGUGAUCCUCAGAGUGCUGUCUGGUGACCCCUGCACUCUCCUCUCUGACAGGAGAGCUCAGCCUUACCCUUUGCUGAAGAAGUGAGUUCUCUUUACCCCUUCUUCUGCCUCUGAUGUCUUCUCAUCUCUAAAUAUGGUCUGUACCCCUCACACCACAAAUAAAAGUGUUCUUACUUCAGCAAAACUAUAGGGAGGGGCUCGUCGCCACUGGAAUUGGUUCUAACGGUUGAAACUCAUUCCUCAUUCAGGAUCCUUCCACAGGUCCACAGUGCUUUAUUUGCAGCUCAGGGUUUCAGACCUUUCUGGGUAUCUUUUGUAAGCUCAUUUGGGGCAAAACCUGACGUGGACUGCCACGAGACUAUUCAUAGUCUGUAUUUUUCCCAUCUAGUGUGAUUAUUUGUAUGUUUGCUGCAGAAAUAUCAGUGCUGGAUUCCUUGGUACACACCAGACCUCGCCAGGGAUGUAUGCACAUAUGUAUGCACUGUAUUACCUUUCUAAAAUCUGAAAAAUACUGAAUUCUGAAACAGCUUUGUUCCAAGGGCUAAUGAAUCUGUGCUUCUCCUGAACUUGCUACAAUUUGUAAUCCCCAAAUAAUAUAGUUUGAUAAUCAUCUCAGUUUUUUUUCUUUAGAGAAAAUUUGGAAAACACAGAAAGGCACAUUUAUGCAAAAAGCAUUCACCUGUAAUGCUGCUACCCAGGGAUAUCUGCUGUCAACAUCCUGGCACAUUUUUUUCCUAGUAAAAUUGGGAUUACAUUUUAUAUACAUCAUAUCAUUUGGUAUUCUGAAUCUUUGAUCCAACACAGUAGUAUAAUCAUUUUCCAGACCACUAAUCAGUCUUUGAAAACAGUAAAAAUUUUAUUUUAUUUUUUUGAGACAGGGUCUUACUCUGUCACCCAGGCUGGAGUACAGUGGCGCGAUCUUGGCUCACUGCAACCUCUGCCUCACAGGUUCAAGUGAUUCUCCCACCUCAGCCUCCUUAGUAGCUGGGACUACAGACGUGUGCCACAGCCAGCUAAUUUUUGUAAUUUUUGUAGAGACGAGGUUUCACCAUGUUGCCCAGGCUGCUCUGAUACUCCUGGACUCAAGCGAUCCACCCACCUCGGUCUCCCAAAGUGCUGGGAUUAUAGGCAUGAGCCACCACACCUGGCCAACAGUCAAAAUUUUAAAACCGGCUGGGCGCAGUGGCUCACGCCUAUCAUUCUAGCACUUUGGGAGGCCGAGGCAGGUGGAUCACGAGGUCA
This 3653-nucleotide long non-coding RNA is filed under the name Homo sapiens (human). RNAcentral's name for it is "HSALNT0275637". The record is from RNAcentral. Lineage: Eukaryota; Metazoa; Chordata; Mammalia; Primates; Hominidae.